Molecule: ribosomal RNA, 253 nt
Filed under: uncultured bacterium
Lineage: Bacteria
Description: partial 16S ribosomal RNA
Rfam family: Bacterial small subunit ribosomal RNA
Source: RNAcentral
UACGUAGGGGGCUAGCGUUGUCCGGAAUCAUUGGGCGUAAAGAGCGCGUAGGCGGCCAGAUAAGUCCGGUGUGAAAGUCACAGGCUCAACCUGUGAAUGCCGCUGGAAACUGUCUGGCUAGAGUCCGGAAGGGGCGAGUGGAAUUCCUGGUGUAGCGGUGAAAUGCGCAGAUAUCAGGAGGAACACCAAUGGCGAAGGCGGCUCGCUGGAACGGUACUGACGCUGUGGCGCGAAAGCCAGGGGAGCAAACGGG